RNAcentral lists this unclassified non-coding RNA (315 nucleotides) under uncultured Pseudeurotiaceae. RNAcentral's name for it is "sequence contains ITS1". The record is from RNAcentral. Lineage: Eukaryota; Fungi; Ascomycota; Leotiomycetes; Thelebolales; Pseudeurotiaceae.
GGGUAUCCCUACCUGAUCCGAGGUCAACCUGAAAAAAAUUGGGGGUUGCUGGCAAGCACACGACCGGACCUCCAGAGCGAGAAGAAUUACUACGCUCGGAGCCGGACGGCACCGCCACUGACUUUAGGGCCCGCCGGGGCGGCGGGGCCCAACACCAAGCUGAGCUUGAGGGUUGUAAUGACGCUCGGACAGGCAUGCCCCCCGGAAUACCAGGGGGCGCAAUGUGCGUUCAAAGACUCGAUGGUUCACGGGAUUCUGCAAUUCACACCAAGUAUCGCAUUUCGCUGCGUUCUUCAUCGAUGCGUCCUUGAUAGG